AUUCUUCUUUCCAGAUCUUCUGUUUUUUCUCCAAGAUCAUUGGUACUCCUUUCCAGGUCUUCCGUUUUUCUUUCAACCUCAUCUGUUUUGUUUUCCAGAUCUUCUGCUUUUUCUUCCAGAUCGCAAACUCUUUCUUCGAGAUCAGCCAUUUUUCUGAUAUUAAGCCUUGUCUCUGACUGCUGCUGGUGUGUGAAGGUUGUAAAAAAAAAAACGUAUUCCCACCUUACGCUUAUAAACCCUAGUGAUUGCACAAGACAAGACAGGAACUUUUGUUCAGUCCGCACGUUUUAUCCAGUACCAAGUUCCUUCUCAGAUCAGAAACGGUGGAUGGACAGAACAAUCCGUGCUGCAGUAAACAAACGCACUGCUGUGUGCAACGCCGGUCUCUCUGGCCCUAAAGCGAGUGAACGUCAGGAAAGCAGCAGGUCCUGAUGGGAUUUCUAGCCAUGUUCUGCAGUCCUGCGCUGAUCAGCUCGCUAGUUUGUUUACAUGUAUUUUUAAUGAGUCCCUUGCUACCUCGGUGGUUCCCACCUCCUUCAGAAAAACUCUCAUCAUCCUUGUGCCUAAGAACAAUAAACUCUCUUGUCUGAAUGACUAUCGUCCAGUUGCCCUCACGUCAACAGUCAUGAAGGUCUUUGAGAAACUUAUAAAAAACAACAUCUGCUCCUCCAUCCCUGAUACUUCAUGACAUUAGCCCCAACAGAUCCACAGAAGAUUGGUGGCAUGUUGAUGGCAAUAACAGGAACUAUGUAAGGCUGCUAUUCAUCAACUAUAGCUCAGAUUUUAAUACCGUAGUCCCUAUCAAGCUAGCUUCCAACCAAGCGACUCUAACCACCCUGGUAACUGUCCUUUUACUUUGCUGCCAUCUGUAUCAUGAAUUUGUAUCGAGGCACCUGUUUCUCAGUGGGUUAUUCUAACUUACACCUUUAACUCUAUAAAUUAUUAUUUAGGUAGGAUAAGAAUAGACAUAUGUAGCAUAAACCAUGAAGUACUCGCCAGCCGGCAGGUUGAAGUUCUUCAGGAAUGAUGUAGAAGACUGCCUUGUGGUUGUUCUUGAGGCUCAGUUUGUAGUUAUAAGUAAAGUCUCACGGGAGGCAAUCGUAACAAUAAAAUCUCUCAUUUUAUUAGUUACAAAUACAAUACAAAGCAUUUAAUGCAAAAAUAAAACUAAGCUAUGAGUGUGACAAACAAUAAUGUAUAAUCAGAAAAUCAAAAACGUAACUGACAGCACUUCCUGUUGAACCGUGAAGCACAUUUUGAGAGAAACUGAGAAAAAGCCGUAUAAGAACCUCUAAUCAACAAACAUUUCUAAUGAGGAGGUUAUUCGUAUUUUAAUGAACAAAGAUUUAAAUAUAUAUAUAUAUUUUUAAACAAGAAAUACUUUCUACCCAAUUACUGUAAAUGGUUUAAAUAUGUAAAAUUAAUACAUGUACAUUACUUCAUACACUGAAUAUUAUAUUAUUAAUAUAUAUUCGGAUUGAAAUCCGAAACUGAAAGGAGAGCGUAUGUGCAAUGACGCGGAAGUAGCGUAAUGACGUAUGACGCGCAGACCACGCGGUUCUUCCUGUUGAAUGAACGUGUGUCCUGUCAUAAUAAAAUGUGCGCAUAUCAAAGCUUGAUCACGAUGUAUUUAGCGUUCAUGUAAACACUAUCGGAAUGAAACUGAAACAAAAGUAGUGCAUGCAAACAUAGGAGAAAUAUAAAAUACGUGGUGAUAUACUGAAAUAUCCACUGGUCUAGACAGAU
RNAcentral lists this long non-coding RNA (1746 nucleotides) under Carassius auratus (goldfish). RNAcentral describes it as "lncRNA (ENSCARG00000035167.1)". Lineage: Eukaryota; Metazoa; Chordata; Actinopteri; Cypriniformes; Cyprinidae. The record is from RNAcentral.